GCGGGUGUAGCUCAGUGGUAGAGCGCAACCUUGCCAAGGUUGAUGUCGCGCGUUCGAAUCGCGUCUCCCGCU
This 72-nucleotide transfer RNA is filed under the name Chamaesiphon minutus PCC 6605. RNAcentral's name for it is "tRNA-Gly (GCC) (tRNA-Gly-GCC-1-1)". It matches the Rfam family "tRNA". Rfam says of the family: Transfer RNA (tRNA) molecules are approximately 80 nucleotides in length. Their secondary structure includes four short double-helical elements and three loops (D, anti-codon, and T loops). The record is from Rfam by way of RNAcentral. Lineage: Bacteria; Bacillati; Cyanobacteriota; Cyanophyceae; Gomontiellales; Chamaesiphonaceae. RNAcentral also lists the same sequence under 9 other names.